UAAGGAAUAUUGGACAAUGGGCGAAAGCCUGAUACAGCCAUGCCGCGUGAGUGAUGAAGGCCCUAGGGUUGUAAAGCUCUUUCAACGGUGAAGAUAAUGACGGUAACCGUAGAAGAAGCCCCGGCUAACUUCGUGCCAGCAGCCGCGGUAAUACGAAGGGGGCUAGCGUUGUUCGGAAUUACUGGGCGUAAAGCGCACGUAGGCUGAUAUUUAAGUCAGGGGUGAAAUCCCGGGGCUCAACCCCGGAACUGCCUUUGAUACUGGGUAUCUUGAGUUCGAGAGAGNGGAGUGGAAUUCCGAGUGUAGAGGUGAAAUUCGUAGAUAUUCGGAGGAACACCAGUGGCGAAGGCGGAUCAAUGGCUCGAUACUGACGCUGAGGUGCGAAAUCGUGGGGAGCAAACA
RNAcentral lists this ribosomal RNA (402 nucleotides) under uncultured bacterium. RNAcentral's name for it is "bacterial SSU rRNA". It matches the Rfam family "Bacterial small subunit ribosomal RNA", at positions 355 to 774 of the family's 1533-position model. The record is from RNAcentral.